CCUACGGGUGGCUGCAGUGGGGGAUAUUGCACAAUGGGGGAAACCCUGAUGCAGCGACGCCGCGUGGGUGAAGAAGCGCCUCGGCGCGUAAAGCUCUGUCAGCAGGGAAGAAAAUGACGGUACCUGAAGAAGAAGCCCCGGCUAACUACGGGCCAGCAGCCGCGGUAAUACGUAGGGGGCAAGCGUUAUCCGGAUUUACUGGGUGUAAAGGGGCCGAAGACGGCGAUGCAAGCCAGGAGUGAAAGCCCGUGGCGCAACCGCGGGACCGCGCUUGGCACCGCCGGGCUAGAGUGCAGGAGGGGCAGGCGGAAUUCCUGGUGUAGCGGUGAAAUGCGUAGAUAUCAGGAGGAACACCGGUGGCGAAGGCGGCCUGCUGGACUGCAACUGACGUUGAGGCCCGAAAGCGUGGGGAGCAAACAGGAUUAGAUACCCGUGUAGUC
This 440-nucleotide ribosomal RNA is filed under the name uncultured bacterium. Its description in RNAcentral is "partial 16S ribosomal RNA". It matches the Rfam family "Bacterial small subunit ribosomal RNA", at positions 338 to 795 of the family's 1533-position model. The record is from RNAcentral.